UACUCCAACAGGCUGCACCAGCAGAAGAAAGCGCUGUCACCACCUUUCUCAGAGAAAAAGGGCUUCAUCCCAGAAAGCUACUGAAUUAGAUUGUACUGCCUUUCACAGGGGUUCAUGUAAUCUUUAUGGAAAACUGACUGACAGACUGUGGCUUGCUGUAAAGUGUUAAUUUCUCCGUUACCUGUGCUCUCUAGGCAGCUAACCAAGCUAACAGGGCACGAAUGGAUUAUUUUUGUUCCUGGAUAGAUUUUUAGCACCAUUUAGCCAAAGAAGCAGAACAGGGAGUCUGCAUCUAUGGAAAGCAAUAUUUUCGUCUUGAUUGUGCCCCACAGGACUCUGUCUCUCAGAGCACAGCUUCAGACUUAAUGAAUAAUCCAGAGAGCACACACAGGGCUGCAGGUGACAGAAAGCCGUGGCUUCCACUGAUUUUUCUCUGCUACUCAUGGUAGUGGUGGAAAUGGGGAUUUAGAUCAGGACAUGCUACAGUCCCCAUCCAACACGAUCUAGUCCCCCUUCCAAGCCCACCAACAUCACAGUUAUCUUUGUGGCUGCAAAGUGCAGAUGGCUGGAAACACAUGCAUUGCAGAUCCAGCUGAAUGGACUUUCUAGUCCAUCUUCCACUCCAUGGAGAAAGACAGCGCCAACAAUGCACAUGCGCUCACACAGAAGACAACCAUGUCGGAUUCAUUUCCACCUCUCAGCAAAGCUUGAAACCUGGAACACCCGCACACAAGACCCAGGCUAUCUUCCUGUGCUGCACAGCAAACACCCCAGUGUGCUCUCUCGGAACUUGGCAAGCAUCUGGACGGGACAGCUUUCCUAUACACUGGGAAAUCAAAAUAGAAAGCACCAGCUUUUUGCCAAUUCUGCAACCUGAGGACAAAUUUCAGGGUCAUUUUUUUUUCUUAUUUAACUUAAUCGUUUCCCUAUUUCAGUACUAAAAAUAAAGUCAAAUAAUUUACUUAGGUGUUCAAUAUAUAUUAAGGAAACAGAAACAUUUUAGGACCAGAUAUCAGCAAAAUCCCAAAACAUGUUCCUAGAUUACCCGUUCCAAAGCACAGGUUACGCUCUGCCUCAAUAUGAAGAGUAGAAAGCAUAACUUCCAUAUAUGAUACAUUGCUUGCUUCAGAUUGGGCUGUUUCCUGCUUGAUACUUCUGUAGUAAUUCUGUUUGUUUUUUCAGAAAAAGCUUUUCCACAUCAUAGAAGAGGAUGUGAGAAUAUCGUAAGGCCCAUGUAGGAGAUGCCUCAGUGAUGUCCUAUUGGCUGGACGGGAAUGAUGCAUACAUGCAUGAAGAGGAGAAGUGACUGUGUGCGAAGGAAAUACACAAAAUCAAGUCAGCCAAAAUCCUAAUGUGGAUGGGUGAAGGGCUCAGGAAGGCUAACCCCCACUCAAGACAUUAUUGGUAAAUUAUGACUACUGUGGAAGGAACGGGUUCUUUAAUGGCUGAUGUCCACUUAUAAGUUGCUAUGACAUAGUUGAGGAAGUAUUCUUGUAGGAUAGUUAAGUGUCUUUUGGGUGUAUACCCAUGCUAUAAUACAUAGAUGCAAAGAAACUGGGUAAUAAGGAGGGUUCCAAGGGAAGAAAUGAGAUUCUCACUCAGAAGGGGAAAUAAAAUACUCAUCAGAGGUGAAUGGAGAGAGGGAACUGGGUAAAAGAGGGGGUGAGGAGGAUGACAGGGGUGGGGAUCAGAUGAGGGCGGCAGGAGAGGGCUGGGAGUGAGAAUGAAAAUCAGCUGGGGGGGUGUGGCAUCUCCAGUAUUAGCUGUAGACCUGGGAUAAGGAGUCUCCCAGGAAACUAUGGAGUCAAACCUAGUUGAGAUUUCUACCAGCUAAGGAUAUGGAGACUGAAAUGGCCACCUCCCCUCCCAUGGCCAGGAUGGACCUCCAGUGGAUGGAGGAGGACAUCAACCAACCCACAAAACCUUCAAGCCAAAAUUUGUCCUGUCUACAAGAUGAGCAGAGAUAAAGAUGGAGCAGAGAUUGAGGAAACAGCCAACCAAUGAUUGCCCCAGUUGAGACCCAUCCCAUGUGAGAGAGCCAACCCCUGAUACUAUUAAUGAUUCUCUGCUAUUCUUGCAGAUAGGAGCCUAGCAUAACUGUCUCCUGAGAGGCUCCAUCCAACAAAGGAUGGAAACAGAUCCAGAGACACAUAGCCAAACAUCAGGCAGAGCUUGGGGAAUCUUGUGGAAGAGUGAGAGAUAGGAUUGAGUGAGUCAGAGGGAUCAAGGACACAAAAAGACUACAGACUCAAAUAGCCUGGGCCCAUGGGGGUUCACAGAGACUGAACCAUCAACCAGAGAACAUGCAAGGGCUGGGCUUAUACCCUCUAUACAUUGGUAACAGAUAUACUGCUUGAUCUUCAUAUGGGUCCUUUAACGAUUGGAGUGAGGACUAUCCCUGACUCUGUUGCCUGCCACUGGAUUGAAAUGGUUGGGCUUCAAUGGGCAUGUGCUUAGUCCUACUGGAACUCGAUGUCUCAGGGCUGGGUGAUCCCCAAUGGACGUUUCCCCUUCCCCUCAGAAAAGGGUAUGGGGUAAUAGGAGGAAGGAUUUGUAAGGGUGGAACCUGAGGAGAGGGGCGAUGAUGUUGAGAUGUAAAAUAAACAAACAAACAAAUAAUAAAAACAAAAUGAU
Mus musculus (house mouse) is the source of this 2634-nucleotide long non-coding RNA. RefSeq annotates it as predicted gene, 30001. The transcript is spliced from 3 exons. NCBI's taxonomy places the organism in Eukaryota, Metazoa, Chordata, Mammalia, Rodentia, Muridae. The record is from RefSeq and is a predicted model, not a curated record.